UACGUAGGGUGCGAGCGUUGUCCGGAAUUAUUGGGCGUAAAGAGCUCGUAGGCGGCCUGUUGCGUCGGUUGUGAAAGCCCGGGGCUUAACCCCGGGUCUGCAGUCGAUACGGGCAGGCUAGAGUUCGGUAGGGGAGAUCGGAAUUCCUGGUGUAGCGGUGAAAUGCGCAGAUAUCAGGAGGAACACCGGUGGCGAAGGCGGAUCUCUGGGCCGAUACUGACGCUGAGGAGCGAAAGCGUGGGGAGCGAACAGG
RNAcentral lists this ribosomal RNA (253 nucleotides) under uncultured bacterium. RNAcentral's name for it is "partial 16S ribosomal RNA". It matches the Rfam family "Bacterial small subunit ribosomal RNA", at positions 524 to 776 of the family's 1533-position model. The record is from RNAcentral.